GGAAUCGUGGAAAAUAGGUCGGCGGUUAGUGAAAUGUGACGUGAUGCUGAAUUGUUUAAUGAAUUGUUCUGCAUGUGGACUUUGACCUGUUCCAGUGACAUUAAAAUAUAUAAAAGAAUUACAGAAAGGACUGUGAGGGUAUCUAUACGUAGAGUGUAGAAAAAUUAACUUCCAGUUGGUAAACACUGCAGCUGAUGGUAAAACCAACAACGUGAAAGACAAUGGGGAAAAUGGGCCUGGAAAAGUGGAAUACCAUGCUUUGUUGUCAACACAAAACUUGGAACAGCAUUUAGCAAUGGUUGACAGCCUGGGUGGACCAUCCCGUGUAAACGAUAUGAUGUUCACAUUAAACCUCAAAACAAUAUUGGACACCAACUUAAAAAUAAUGGAACAGCCAGCUGGUGAGGACUGAUGGAGCAAGUUGCGACUGAAUCAGCAAGGAUUGCAGCUAGCGAUUCUAUCUUAAAUGAAAUCACUUGAAGGAAGGGAACCCCCGCAGGUUACUCAAAUGCAUCAGUGGAAGUCCAGUCUGGUAGUCAGUUCGCAACAUACGUCACACCAACUGUUAAGGUCAAGAGGCUUUACAAAUUACAGGCAUUUCAAUGACUGAUGGGACAAUGACAUUCAUUGGAUAGGUUGUGAAGCCAGUGUCGGACAAUGACAUUCAUUGGAUCAGCUGUGCAGCCAGUGUCAAUAUGAGUUGUUUUUUUCUAUUUUUAGUAACAGUGACCUUAUCAAUCACAUAAGGUGUAAAUGACGGGUUGUACUUAUUAACCCAUAGAUUGCCUUCAAUAUGCAUGCCAAGUUUCACCAAAUUUGCUGGAGUAUUUGUAACCAACCGCAGGUUAUAGUGUAAA
Molecule: long non-coding RNA, 857 nt
Organism: Dreissena polymorpha
Lineage: Eukaryota; Metazoa; Mollusca; Bivalvia; Myida; Dreissenidae
Exons: 3
Source: RefSeq, a predicted model, not a curated record